Molecule: ribosomal RNA, 263 nt
Filed under: uncultured bacterium
Lineage: Bacteria
Description: partial 16S ribosomal RNA
Source: RNAcentral
CUGCUGCCUCCCGUAGGAGUCUGGGCCGUGUCUCAGUCCCAAUGUGGCCGGCCAACCUCUCAGUCCGGCUACUGAUCGUCGCUUUGGUAGGCCGUUACCCUGCCAACUGGCUAAUCAGACGCGGGCCCAUCCUGUACCACCGGAGUUUUCAGGGAAAAGCCAUGCGGCUUCCCCCGUUAUGCGGUAUUAGCACCUAUUUCUAAGUGUUAUCCCCCUGUACAGGCCAGGUUGCCCACGCGUUACUCACCCGUCCGCCACUCAUG